GCAUAUCAAUAAGCGGAGGAAAAGAAACCAACAGGGAUUGCCCUAGUAACGGCGAGUGAAGCGGCAACAGCUCAAAUUUGAAAUCUGGCUUCGGCCCGAGUUGUAAUUUGUAGAGGAAACUUUUGGUGAGGCACCUUCUGAGUCCCUUGGAACAGGGCGCCAUAGAGGGUGAGAGCCCCGUAUAGUCGGAUGCCGAUCCAAUGUAAAGUUCCUUCGACGAGUCGAGUAGUUUGGGAAUGCUGCUCAAAAUGGGAGGUAAAUUUCUUCUAAAGCUAAAUAUAGGCCAGAGACCGAUAGCGCACAAGUAGAGUGAUCGAAAGAUGAAAAGCACUUUGAAAAGAGGGUUAAAUAGCACGUGAAAUUGUUGAAAGGGAAGCGUUUGUGACCAGACUUGCGCCGUUCCGAUCAUCCGGCGUUCUCGCCGGUGCACUCGGGGCGGCUCAGGCCAGCAUCGGUUUUGGUGGGGGGAUAAAGGUCCAGGGAACGUAGCUCCUCCGGGAGUGUUAUAGCCCUGGGCGUAAUGCCCUCGCUGGGACCGAGGUUCGCGCAUCUGCAAGGAUGCUGGCGUAAUGGUCAUCAACGACCCGUCUUGAAACACGGACCAAGGAGUCAAGGUUUUGCGCGAGUGUUUGGGUGUAAAACCCGCACGCGUAAUGAAAGUGAACGUAGGUGAGAGCUUCGGCGCAUCAUCGACCGAUCCUGAUGUAUUCGGAUGGAUUUGAGUAAGAGCGUUAAGCCUUGGACCCGAAAGAUGGUGAACUAUGCUUGGAUAGGGUGAAGCCAGAGGAAACUCUGGUGGAGGCUCGCAGCGGUUCUGACGUGCAAAUCGAUCGUCAAAUCUGAGCAUGGGGGCGAAAGACUAAUCGA
Molecule: ribosomal RNA, 867 nt
Filed under: Sordaria macrospora
Lineage: Eukaryota; Fungi; Ascomycota; Sordariomycetes; Sordariales; Sordariaceae
Description: LSU rRNA
Rfam family: Eukaryotic large subunit ribosomal RNA
Source: RNAcentral